UCCUUGUGUGUAAUUAGCAUGCUUCCUCAAUGCUGCCUUUGUUUUUUUGUUCAUCAUAUUAAUGUACUGGUUUCCUCAUAUUUUAGAAGAAUAUGAGUCUCCCUAUAUCUGUUUUACCUUAUAAUCCUGAUCCUUAAGGUAGAUGCCGUGGGAGAUUAAAGGGUUGGAAAGUCUUGAUUUACUGAUACAGUAGGUUUUUUACUAAGAAAUUGUGUCAAAGGAGUUUGAAUGUGUAUUCUCAAGAUAAUUGACUUGGACUACAGUGUUUAAGUUGAUUGAAUGUACUAGUUGGUUUCAAAAUAGAACAUAGUUGUAAAUUUAUUUUUGACGUUUGUGAACAAAUUAUGUCCUGGACCUUCAAAAGUGCAGAAUAGGUACAGCAGGCCUUUGGCAAUGGGUCUGUUUGGCAUUGCUAUGAGAGCUUUGUUGAGAAAACACUUUUUUAAAUAUUUUAAUUAGAUUAUUAAAAAUUGUUUAAAAAUUAAAUUUGAUUUGUUUUGGCCAUUAGAACAUUAAAAUAACAAACAACUUUUGUUUAAAAUGUUUUUUUUUUAACAGUAUCUAAAAUGAUGAUUUUUCUAAAAGGCAUUUUUUGACCCUGAAAUUCAAUGCCAAAUGGGGCCAAUGUAUGGCUCUCUUUAUCAAAUGUUGUACACAAAAGUGUUUAAUGUGCAAAAAUCCAGUGGAAGUGAUAUAAAGGCCAAAAUAACUUAGAAAUUCAUGUUUUUAUUUGUUAAGCAAGUAUAUGGUGAUAUGAUUGUUUCUUCUGCAUAUAUUCAUUAUUCCAGUUUGGUAAAGUGGAAUAACUUUUAACUAGUAGCCUUAUCGCACAUGUUAGUUAAGCCUUAAUUUGAGGCACUUAAGUAUUAUGUUUUACAGUAGGAAGUCUGGCACACGAAAAGGAUAUGCAUCAUAUGCUUAUAAGUUUUCAAAGCUAAGUCUACUUAUAAAUAAAUGUAACAGAUUGAAAACCCCCCAUUUUUACCUUUCUCAAAAAUAGGGCACCCUUACAUAAAUUUUUAACAUAUAGUUCAUGGAGUCAAGCCAUUUCGUAAGAUGAACUUUUCUAUUCUUCCUCCUAUUUUAGGUUGUGCUUGAUGUUCAGAGCCUUAGAAAAUUAAAGCUGUCUGAUGCUUAAGUUUGGUUGCCUAAAAUAUGUGUUUCAGCAUCUUUUCUUGUAUUUUGGUCCUUUCUUGGACUCUUUUUUAUAUAUUAAAAAAAUUAUAAUAUUAUUUUCUGGAUCAAAAUUGUAGAUUCAAGGUGAAUGUUUAGACUUAUGCAAUAAUUUCACUGAACACUUAUAUUGCAUUCUCCAAAAAAAAAAGAAAGUAUUCAAAUAUUGUUGUCAUUCCUGUGUUAAGAUCUCAAUUCAGAAGUUAGGUGCUUUACAGUGAUGUGGAAUUGUAGAAUUGUGGACAGUUAUAUUUUGUGUGUAUGCAUUACUACUCCUUUUUCAACUCCUUUUCUUCUUUUUGUUUAUGACGAUAUACUGAUUAGUUACCUUCAUUUGAAUUGCUUUCUGAGCAGGAAAGCUGAAAGAAUUGGGAAAC
This 1550-nucleotide unclassified non-coding RNA is filed under the name Hevea brasiliensis (rubber tree). The record is from RNAcentral. Lineage: Eukaryota; Viridiplantae; Streptophyta; Magnoliopsida; Malpighiales; Euphorbiaceae.